This 483-nucleotide ribosomal RNA is filed under the name uncultured bacterium. RNAcentral's name for it is "partial 16S ribosomal RNA". It matches the Rfam family "Bacterial small subunit ribosomal RNA", at positions 30 to 507 of the family's 1533-position model. The record is from RNAcentral.
AUUGAACGCUGGCGGCAGGCCUAACACAUGCAAGUCGAGCGGAUGAAGGGAGCUUGCUCCUGGAUUCAGCGGCGGACGGGUGAGUAAUGCCUAGGAAUCUGCCUGGUAGUGGGGGAUAACGUCCGGAAACGGGCGCUAAUACCGCAUACGUCCUGAGGGAGAAAGUGGGGGAUCUUCGGACCUCACGCUAUCAGAUGAGCCUAGGUCGGAUUAGCUAGUUGGUGGGGUAAAGGCCUACCAAGGCGACGAUCCGUAACUGGUCUGAGAGGAUGAUCAGUCACACUGGAACUGAGACACGGUCCAGACUCCUACGGGAGGCAGCAGUGGGGAAUAUGGACAAUGGGCGAAAGCCUGAUCCAGCCAUGCCGCGUGUGUGAAGAAGGUCUUCGGAUUGUAAAGCACUUUAAGUUGGGAGGAAGGGCAGUAAGUUAAUACCUUGCUGUUUUGACGUUACCAACAGAAUAAGCACCGGCUAACUUCGUG